UAGGCUGUUUGCUAAUGUGAAGUUUUAAUUUUGAAGUCUUUCUCCUUCAAGCCCAGAAUAAACCAAAGAGCCAGUCCUGGCUCGUGGUGGCAGAGUGGACUGCAUUCCGCCUGUUCUUCAAGGCCGUGGUCCCUGGAAGCAGAUCUCUAGGCCUUGUUUCCGAGGUGUGUGUAUUCCAACAGUGCAAGAGAGUCAUUUGUGGAAGAAAUAGCUCAUCUCCGCACCACUGAGUAGAGAAACAAUGAAACAGGCAAUGCACAGUCUCCCUUUGGAUCAAACGUAAAACUGAACACCAGAAGACUAAAAGCAGUCUUAGAAGACUGGGCUGAACGUUUCGGUGUGAAUACCAGAUUGUGGAAGGCUUAUCCCCCAGGAGGCCCCUGAUUUCUUCUCGGCAUCUCUGCUGGUGCUCAGGGUUCAGAGCCAGGCAGUAGAGGAGCCAGGAGAUGCCCGCGGCUGUGGUGUCCUGCCCCGCCACUACGAAUGUGUUCACUUCAGCUGACAGGAAGUCAAGAUCAGCAUCAGCAGCAUCAUCAAACUGUUCCUCCAUGUACCCUGCCCUCAUGCCCUAAGGAAGACAACCUUGACCCAACAGAAACUAGAGGUCAUAUAAUAACUUAACUUUUUAAAUUGUUAUUAAAAUAGCAUUUUAUUGGGGGCUCUUACAGC
This is a long non-coding RNA of Echinops telfairi (small Madagascar hedgehog), 669 nucleotides long. RefSeq lists it as uncharacterized. The record is from RefSeq and is a predicted model, not a curated record. NCBI's taxonomy places the organism in Eukaryota, Metazoa, Chordata, Mammalia, Afrosoricida, Tenrecidae. The transcript has 4 exons.